AUACGGAGGAUCCGAGCGUUAUCCGGAUUUAUUGGGUUUAAAGGGUGCGCAGGCGGGAGAUUAAGUCGGCGGUCAAAUUUUGCAGCUCAACUGUAAAAGUGCCUUCGAAACUGGUUUCCUUGAGUGUAGAUGAAGUAGGCGGAAUUUGUGGUGUAGCGGUGAAAUGCAUAGAUAUCACGAGGAACUCCGAUUGCGCAGGCAGCUUACUAAACUACUACUGACGCUCAGGCACGAAGGCGUGGGGAUCAAACAGGAUUAGAUACCCUGGUAGUCCACGCAGUAAACGAUGAUUACUAGCUGUUUGCGAUACAAUGUAAGCGGCUGAGCGAAAGCGUUAAGUAAUCCACCUGGGGAGUACGUUCGCAAGAAUGAAACUCAAAUGAAUUGACGGGG
Molecule: ribosomal RNA, 393 nt
Filed under: uncultured bacterium
Lineage: Bacteria
Description: partial 16S ribosomal RNA
Rfam family: Bacterial small subunit ribosomal RNA
Source: RNAcentral